UACGUAGGGUGCGAGCGUUAAUCGGAAUUACUGGGCGUAAAGCGUGCGCAGGCGGUUCGCUGUGUCCGAUGUGAAAGCCCCGGGCUUAACCUGGGAAUGGCAUUGGAAACUGGCUGGCUAGAGUGUGGCAGAGGGGGGUGGAAUUCCGCGUGUAGCAGUGAAAUGCGUAGAGAUGCGGAGGAACACCGAUGGCGAAGGCAGCCCCCUGGGCUAGCACUGACGCUCAGGCACGAAAGCGUGGGGAGCAAACAGGG
RNAcentral lists this ribosomal RNA (254 nucleotides) under uncultured bacterium. Its description in RNAcentral is "partial 16S ribosomal RNA". It matches the Rfam family "Bacterial small subunit ribosomal RNA", at positions 524 to 777 of the family's 1533-position model. The record is from RNAcentral.